RNAcentral lists this long non-coding RNA (938 nucleotides) under Zea mays. RNAcentral's name for it is "long non-coding RNA (ZMAY_LNC004586)". The record is from RNAcentral. Lineage: Eukaryota; Viridiplantae; Streptophyta; Magnoliopsida; Poales; Poaceae.
AGGACGUCCUCGUCCUCUAAAUUUAGGGUACAGGACCCUUUAGAGGGCCUUGUUGGAGCCAGUCUAACCGCCUGUUCUGCUGGAAGUGUGCGGCGCGGGCCCCUUUGACGGUGGCACAGUAGGCAGUAGCUGGUUGAAGACUGACUGCCAUGGCCUGCUGGAUGCAGGCGGCGCAGACCCUUUGACCGCGGUGCGAUGGAUGGUUGAAGACUCCCCCACUCCUAAUCUUGCCUGGAAGCAGAGCAGAUAAUGAGAUAAAGCAUACGCCUCCUGGAAGCCACCGUCGAAUACCCUCGCAGACGCGCCGACCUUACCGUCCACGGGGCUGUGCCUGCCGCCACCAGGCACAAGCGCCGACGACAACGCCGGAGGGUCGGCCCUCCCCACCUUUGUUGACCUUAACGGCGUGAGAGAGCCGAGAUCGUCCUCCCUUUUUUUCUCUUUCCCACCGCCUGUUUGAUUCUAGAAGUGUGUCGCAUGCUGGUGUCUGGUGAAGGAGCGGACAAGCGGCGACAGCGUUGGCGCGAGCGGCUGCCGGAGGCCCCGAUCUGGAGACUCUAUAAGCAACAGCGAAAGGUCAGACCUGCAUGUGUGUGUGAGAGGAUAGGGGCAGGCGAGGGGAUGAGAACCUGAGAAGAGAUACUCGCAGGCGUGGACGGGAGGAGCGCGUGGACCUACAGAGGGACGAUGCAGAGGGAGCAAGAAGGGGAUGAGAACCUGACCAAGUGACCUACAGAGGGACAAGGCGGAGGGAGCGAGGAGGAAGAGAGACAGGGCAGAUCGAGCGAGGAGCGGUGGCCACUGUCAAAGCAUCAGGUGGAAGUAUCCAGAGGCGAGGAGAACGAUGUGAGAGAGCGCGAUGAAGGUGAGCCAGUGAUCCACGAUCGAGCGGUUAAGAAGAUUUUCGAUGACGUGGAUGAGCUAGGAGGAGCCGGUUU